UUCCUGGAAUGUUUGAGGAUUUUGUUUUAGUGGAUGGAGAAUUUUGAGAGAUGACAAUAACAAAUAUACAUGUAACUGUGGUGCAGAUAUGGUUUCUGCAGGCUGUGGUGCAGAUAUACAUGUAACUGUUAAAAUUGAAAGUGCAGACUGCACACCACAUCUGCAUUCUAUCAUUUCUGCAUCUGAUGGGGUAGUCAACUUAAUCAUUCCAUUGCCAAUCUUAAAAAAUGUUGUUAAGUUUAACUUGUUGAUUACCAAACCCAUUAUAUAGAGGCAUGUAAGCUCUAGUUCUGCCUAUGCCUACAUUUAAAACCUUUAGAAGGAGCAUAUAUGAGCUUGGAAAGCCACAUAAUUCCUAUAAAUGCUGAAGUAUAUGCCUUAAGUUUCUCACUGUAUUCUCGAAAUGAAUUCCUUUUAACAUGCUUUGUGCUUGCAUUGGAAGAAGGAUAUGUUUCUAUUUUAUUUAUCAUGCAUUGGAAGAAGGAUAAGUUUCUCACAUUUAGCAAGCUUCAUAUUUGUACAGUUUUUUUUUCAGUAUGGAAACUGAAAGCUGUACACGAUGGACUGUGUUAAGUUGUACAGUGGAGAAUAUACAGCCAUUUUAAACUGCCAAAAUUUCAGUGUCCAUAACUUCUUGGAAAACUACUGUUUUGUAUUUAUGAUUUCCUUUCAAGUUGAUGUUAUGCAUUGUGAAGCUAAUUAUACUGAUGUAGCUUAUACCCAUUAUAUCUCACAAUAACAACAAAGUGGGUUGUUUAAAGGGGAUAUUCUCACAGAUCGCUUUUUCCGAAUCCUCAUGGUAAACUUUUUCCGUGUUUUUAUUAUGUUAAGAGUUUUCCUUCUCUUUGUACCGAUAAUUUCAGGAAAUUUUUGUAGCAAAUUGUUUGGCCACUGACAUGAUUAAUCCAAGCACAUUGUCCCUACAAACGCCACAACAAGUCCAACAUCUCUCAUUUGUUGUUAUUGAUAUGUAUGCAAAGCUUGUGGUUUUAGUUAUUAAGGUAGAGAUCUUUUUUUUUUCUUCUUCUAACUGAGCUUCAUGCAAUGAAUGGAAACUAAUUUGAUGAAUGUUUCCAUCAUAGUUUGGGUAUCUAUGAACAGUUUGGGUUUCCAUCAUAAUUUGACUAACAAUGCAUGUUAUGAAAAAAUGCAAUCUGGUGUGGAGCUAGUACUCCUUUUAGAUGGUAAGCAAUGGAAUGUUCAAAUGCUUUCUCCUCUUUGUUAAACAGACUUGAUGACUGUUCAGUUAUCUGAUAUCCUCAAUGAUCACCACCUAUUAUCCACUCUAUGAACUACAAACAUGGUAUUAAAUGGUAAUGGGACUAGCAAAUUGGUGAUAUUUUUGGGAUCCAUGACAAGCUUGAAAGUUAUUCAUGUCCACUGUAAAGUAAAUGAGUCAAUGUCUUGCUUACUUGUAAAUAUGUAGUUUUCACUUUCAGGUUGUUGAAAUCAUUGACCGGUAUGAGACAGAGUGCAUUCCAAAGAGCUCAAGAGGCAAUAAGCUUGCAUUUAUACAGGACCCGAAAAUGGACAAAACCUACACCAGGACAAUAACAGACAUGUUUCCGAGGGGGCAAAACCCAAAGGCAUGGGAGCUCCGAAGAAGGCUCCUGCUAGAAAGGUGUGCUUGCAAAUCCUGAAACUUCUUAUUUCCCAAGUAUCUCCCUGUUUUUGUGGACUUCUCAUUGCCUUUUUGUUUUAGGUCUUUCAACAAAAAAUGCCGACUGUCGUUGAUAGUGAAGAGGAAGAUAAUGAGAUGCUCGAGCUGAAAGAACGACUGGCAGCGUAUAACAUUGAUUCUCCUUCAGAUCAAACAGGUAUAUGAUCAUCCAUGUGCAGUAAGCUUUCGGAUCAAAGCGAAGCUGAGAAUAGGGUGUUAGUUGAUGACAAAUUGAUAACCAGUAGAUGCACAUCCAUGGAAUUUUCGCUUGCGAUUGUUGAAAAGCUAUUUGGCUGCGAGAAGGCAUUGGAUCUUGCUGUUAAUGAGAACUUUAAAUAGACAUAUAACUAUUAUGUUGGCCUUGUACUUUUGUGAAUGGAAAUGAAUGAUUAUGUUUGAUUGAAUGAAUGAAUGAUUUAGCCAUGAAAUAUUUAUCUAUAUUAGCUUAUAUAAGUUAUCAGGGUGUACUACAAUGGUAAGAGCUGCAAUUACUAUUUAAAUUUUUUAUUAACAAUAGGCAUUAGCU
Molecule: long non-coding RNA, 2186 nt
Organism: Magnolia sinica
Lineage: Eukaryota; Viridiplantae; Streptophyta; Magnoliopsida; Magnoliales; Magnoliaceae
Exons: 2
Source: RefSeq, a predicted model, not a curated record